GGAUUGUGGCUCAGAGGAAGAGCGCUUGCCUUGCAUGCGUGAGGCACUGGAUUCGAUCCUCAGCACCA
RNAcentral lists this transfer RNA (68 nucleotides) under Marmota monax (woodchuck). Its description in RNAcentral is "tRNA.Ala". Lineage: Eukaryota; Metazoa; Chordata; Mammalia; Rodentia; Sciuridae. The record is from RNAcentral.